This 529-nucleotide ribosomal RNA is filed under the name uncultured Enterococcus sp. RNAcentral describes it as "bacterial SSU rRNA". It matches the Rfam family "Bacterial small subunit ribosomal RNA", at positions 371 to 890 of the family's 1533-position model. Lineage: Bacteria; Bacillati; Bacillota; Bacilli; Lactobacillales; Enterococcaceae. The record is from RNAcentral.
AUGGACGAAAGUCUGACCGAGCAACGCCACGUGAGUGAAGAAGGUUUUCGGAUCGUAAAACUCUGUUGUUAGAGAAGAACAAGGAUGAGAGUAACUGUUCAUCCCUUGACGGUAUCUAACCAGAAAGCCACGGCUAACUACGUGCCAGCAGCCGCGGUAAUACGUAGGUGGCAAGCGUUGUCCGGAUUUAUUGGGCGUAAAGCGAGCGCAGGCGGUUUCUUAAGUCUGAUGUGAAAGCCCCCGGCUCAACCGGGGAGGGUCAUUGGAAACUGGGAGACUUGAGUGCAGAAGAGGAGAGUGGAAUUCCAUGUGUAGCGGUGAAAUGCGUAGAUAUAUGGAGGAACACCAGUGGCGAAGGCGGCUCUCUGGUCUGUAACUGACGCUGAGGCUCGAAAGCGUGGGGAGCAAACAGGAUUAGAUACCCUGGUAGUCCACGCCGUAAACGAUGAGUGCUAAGUGUUGGAGGGUUUCCGCCUCUUCAGUGCUGCAGCUAACGCAUUAAGCACUCCGCCUGGGGAGUACGACCGCA